Molecule: ribosomal RNA, 254 nt
Filed under: uncultured bacterium
Lineage: Bacteria
Description: partial 16S ribosomal RNA
Rfam family: Bacterial small subunit ribosomal RNA
Source: RNAcentral
UACGAAGGGGGCUAGCGUUGUCCGGAAUUAUUGGGCGUAAAGAGCUCGUAGGCGGUCUGUCGCGUCUGCUGUGAAAACCUGGGGCUUAACCCCCGGGCCUGCAGUGGGUACGGGCAGACUAGAGUGUGGUAGGGGAGACUGGAAUUCCUGGUGUAGCGGUGAAAUGCGCAGAUAUCAGGAGGAACACCGAUGGCGAAGGCAGGUCUCUGGGCCACUACUGACGCUGAGAAGCGAAAGCAUGGGGAGCGAACAGG